CAGUCGCCACGGUAACACGUAGGGUGCGAGCGUUAAUCGGAAUUACUGGGCGUGAAGCGUGCGCAGGCGGUUGUGUAAGACAGGUGUGAAAUCCCCGGGCUUAACCUGGGAACUGCGCUUGUGACUGCACAGCUAGAGUAUGGCAGAGGGGGGUGGAAUUCCACGUGUAGCAGUGAAAUGCGUAGAGAUGUGGAGGAACACCGAUGGCGAAGGCAGCCCCCUGGGCCAAUACUGACGCUCAUGCACGAAAGCGUGGGGAGCAAACAGGAUUAGAUACCCCUGUAGUCCCUGUCUCUUAUAC
Molecule: ribosomal RNA, 301 nt
Filed under: uncultured bacterium
Lineage: Bacteria
Description: partial 16S ribosomal RNA
Rfam family: Bacterial small subunit ribosomal RNA
Source: RNAcentral